GUUCACAAACCGGAACAGUCACUUCUGGAUUUGUGGCUUUCGGGAGCCAAAGCGUUCGAGAAUUAAGCUGUUCGAAAACCUAGGUACGACUGUAUUUCCAUCAGAGAAAUGUUGGAGGGGGAGUCUCUAUUUUCAUCAGAGAAAUGUUGGAGGGUGUGGAAUCGGAUGUCCCUAUUUUCAUCGGAGGAGUGUUGGAGGGGAUGUAAAUUAAAGAAACAGCAAGAAAGGAAGGCAGGCAGUCUACAUAAACAGCAAGAGGGGUGGAAUAAUGGUUAUUACCACUGAUUUUUUUUUUUAAUGACUGUGGGCCUUUUUUCUAAUUAUUAAGAUGGUGCACUUGGCACACGACACCGAAGGGAUUGACUUGGUAAUCAUCUAUAAAGCUCUUGAGUAGCCAGAGCGGACUCCCAUGCAGUCAUUUUCUCCCUGGACAGAGGGAGAAAUAAACUCUCCCUGUAUUUAUUAGUAUUAUGGGCUGUCAGGUUAGGAAGAUUUAUUCCAGAGUUACUGCAAGGCAUGGCUUUAUCGUCUUGCUGCCUCCACCAGAACAGCACUGCAGGUGAAAACAUCGAGCCCAGCUAGGACUGCUUUUGGGUCCGUGAAGCAUUUUUUAAUUCUAAGUACAGUGGUACCUCGGGUUAAGUACUUAAUUCGUUCCUGAGGUCCGUACUUAACCUGAAACUGUUCUUAACCUGAAGCUAAUGGGGCCUCCCACUGCUGCCACGCCACCAGAGCCCGAUUUCUGUCCUUGUCCUGAAGCAAAGUUCUUAACCUGAAGCACUAUUUCUGGGUUAGCGGAGUCUGUAACCUGAAGCGUAUGUAACCCGAGGUACCACUGUAAUGGAAAUCCGGUGCUGUUAAGCUACGCCAGCCGCAGUAUUAAGAAAAGGGCACUUGUGCUUCGCCAAACAAGAGGAGUUGCAUCAUGAGAGGGCAAAAUAGGACACUGAUUUGCAUGAAAUCUGCAUGCGCUAAUCUAUGUUUAACAUUUAGAAAAAAAUGUAAUUUAAAUAGAAAUGCCAUACAUCUCAACUUAGUGGAGAGGACUGUGGCCACAUGACUUUUGUGCCUGCUCAGUCUUCUGUCCCAGUGUUAACUGUGGAUGGAAAAGAUUCCAGCCUCCUCCUGCUUGUCCUUCUUGAGCUUUAAUUUAUUUAGAUCUUAUUCUCAUUUUAAUUGAGCUUUAAUUUAUUUAUUGUGUUUCUAUCCAUAUUAUUAUGUUUCUAUAUAUGUUGGAAGCUGCCCAGAGUCGCUGGGGCAAACCAGUGAGACGAGUGAGGUAUAAAUAAUAAAAUUAUUAUUAUUAUUAUUAUUAUUCAAGAGGACUUCCCUAUUUUCACUGGAGACAUGUUGGAGGGUAUGUGAAGGCAGCUGUAGUUUGCCCACCACAGAGAUACAAUUCCCAGUACCCUUAAAAAACUACAGUUCCCGUGAUUCUUUGAAAAACGCCACAUGAGCCCCAAAAUGGAAAGAAGCAGAUGUCCCAGCAAAGGAAGAAUGGAUACAAAAACUUAUAAUAUGCAGAAAUGGUGAAACUUACAGGAAGAAUAAGAAAUCAAGAAUGGAAAUGGUUUGUUGAAUAUUUGCAGGUAAAUUGCAAACAGAUAAAAACAUUGGCAGGAUUAUUGUAAUAACCUGCAGUUUCAAAAGAGUAAAUAAUUAAAUGAAUUUGGAUAUGCAUAAGGUAUUAAGGGACGUGGGUGGCGCUGUGGGUUAAACCACAGAGCCUAGGCAUUGCCGAUCGGAAGGUCGGCGGUUCGAAUCCUCGCGACAGGGUGAGCUCCCGUUGCUCAGUCCCUGCUCCUACCAACCUAGCAGUUCGAAAGCACAUCAAAAGUGCAAGUAGAUAAAUAGGUACCGCUCCGGCGGGAAGGGAAAUGGUGUUUCCGUGCGCUGCUCUGGUUUGCCAGAAGCGGCUUAGUCAUGCUGGCCACAUGACCCGGAAGCUGUACGCCGGCUCCCUCGGCCAAUAAAGCGAGAUGAGCGCCGUAACCCCAGAGUCGGUCAUGACUGGACCUAAUGGUCAGGGGUCCCUUUACCUUUACUUAAGGUGUUAAAAAAUAAAUUUAAGGCACCACAGAAAGAGGGGGAAGGAAGUCAAACUUUGAAAUGUUAAAAUGAUUGUGAAAUUAAUGAAAUGUAUAAAUUUGAAAAGUAUAAAUAAAAACUUUAAAAAGAAAAAAUGCCAUGUGCUUUAAGUGUAUGUUGUGGAUGUGACUGCCCAUACCACUUCUUGGGACACAGGGUGCCGGUUUCCUGGGGUCCUGGGUGCUCACGCAGCCACAAAAUUCAGUGCACCCUGGGCACCUGCACGGUUGCGGGGCCAAGUUGGCCCUCCUGUCUGGGGCUUGCCUCUCAGUAAACAGGCAUGUGAUUUUGUUGCAUACCUGGGCUGUGGACGAUCAUUUGUCAGCUCCUUCACUUCAGAAUACGAUGAUCUCCUAGCCCCAUAGAUAUCCUUUUAGAACCACCACAGCAACAAAACACUGCCACAAAUCAUUUGCAUCCCUCUAAAGGGUAACCGGGAAGGAAUCCAGUGAUCUGGUCUUUAGCAGGAUUUCUUCCAUGGCUAUUUCCCUUGUGAAUGUGAUCUCCCUCCUGCAGGUGCGAUCGGCGAGUUGCUCAGAAUAGCUCCACCAGGCAAAGUUCAGAAUGUCUCGCAUCUGCUACUGACCAGUGAUAGAUUGCUGAGUGGAAAAAGAACAGUAUUAGAACCGUUGCCAAAGAAAGUUCCAGAGGCAAGGGCUCCAUUUUUCAGUGGAUCACUGGGGAACAAUUUUUCUUUUUCAUUUUCUGCUGCAUGAGAUUUUUUCAACUGUUCUUAUAUGUUCUUUCAAUGCUGAUUUCAAAUCUGAAAUUGAUUUUCAUGUACAUGCUAUAGUUAUCUUUCAAUUUCCGACUUUUCCCGAUAUGUCAUAUUUACACUGGGGAUAAGUGGACACUGACACCUUGAUCUACCUUAACCACAUGGUAAUUAUUGUUUUGCAAACUUAAUUUUUCUUUAUUUUUAUAGUUUUGUAACCUAAAUAUUUGUAUUUUUCAGAUCGGACCAUGGCUUCUUCAAGUAGACAAAAAUGUGUAAACAAGUCAUAAAUUGAAAGAUACUGUGUAUCCCAAGAGAAUACAUUUUUGCAUACUUCCAACUGUACAUAGAUAUACAUGUCAUUUUCAAUGCUAUACAUGUCAUGUUCAAUGCUAUAUAAGUCACUUACAUUUAUACUCAUAUUGUACUACUUUGGCUAUGUGUUUAAUAAACUAUUGAAUUCUUGUAUUGUGAAAAACAAAGAUUAUGGUGAACAGUGAAAAACAAGAAUUGCAAAAAAACUAGAGCUCACAGAACAAAACCAACUUCAGAUAUGAAAUCAGCACGUCUAAAUUAGGUUAGAGCAACUGCAGGUGUCAAUGCAACAAAAAUUUUGUUUCCCAGUGUUAUAAGAAGAAAAUCCAGCCCCACUCACAGCCGUCUUAAGCAUAUCUGGCGCCGUAGU
Podarcis lilfordi (Lilford's wall lizard) is the source of this 3488-nucleotide non-coding RNA. NCBI's taxonomy places the organism in Eukaryota, Metazoa, Chordata, Lepidosauria, Squamata, Lacertidae. The record is from the annotation of a GenBank genome assembly.